CCUACGGGAGGCAGCAGUAAGGAAUAUUGGACAAUGGUGGCAACACUGAUCCAGCCAUGCCGCGUGAAGGAUGAAGGACCUAUGGUUUGUAAACUUCUUUUGUAUGGGAAAAAACCUCUUUACGUGUAAAGAGCUGAUGGUACCAUAAGAAUAAGGGUCGGCUAACUUCGUGCCAGCAGCCGCGGUAAUACGAAGGACCCGAGCGUUAUCCGGAUUCAUUGGGUUUAAAGGGUGCGUAGGUGGAAUAAUAAGUCAGUGGUGAAAUCCUGCAGCUUAACUGCAGAACUGCCAUUGAUACUGUUGUUCUUGAGUACAUUUGAUGUGGGCGGAAUAUGACAUGUAGCGGUGAAAUGCUUAGAUAUGUCAUAGAACACCGAUUGCGAAGGCAGCUCACAAAACUGUUACUGACACUGAGGCACGAAAGCGUGGGGAGCAAACAGGAUUAGAUACCCUGGUAGUCCACGACGUAACGUAGUAUCACUANAUGUGGUGAUACACUGUCNGCGUCCGACGACGAAGACGAGUAAGUAG
RNAcentral lists this ribosomal RNA (531 nucleotides) under uncultured bacterium. RNAcentral describes it as "bacterial SSU rRNA". It matches the Rfam family "Bacterial small subunit ribosomal RNA", at positions 338 to 867 of the family's 1533-position model. The record is from RNAcentral.